Molecule: RNA transcript, 1294 nt
Organism: Sinocyclocheilus rhinocerous
Lineage: Eukaryota; Metazoa; Chordata; Actinopteri; Cypriniformes; Cyprinidae
Exons: 4
Source: RefSeq, a predicted model, not a curated record
AGCUCUUGCCUGAUUCAGUCUGAUCAUGCACACAGUCCCUCUUCUCUGUCUGGCUGCUCUAAGCACCUCAGCACUAAUAACUUGUCAUCCUAUACAAAAGGAAACAAUCCGAACAGAUUUAACAAGAGAAAAUCUGAGCAAUAUGGAGACCAUGAUCAGUACAUACGGAUAUUUCCUGAUGAUGACAUUUAGUAAAAGAAUGAGGAAAGCCAUUUCUCGAGAGUCCAAAGGAGCUGCUUUACUGAAGAAAAGAAGCAAGGACUGCUUCUUACUACUUCAUAUUAAAACAAAUAAUAUAAUGUGCUUGGAUAGAACUAAAAACACAUAUAUUUCAGUUCAUGGCAUUAAUAAGGACUGCUUUAAAACAAUUGACGGAAAGAAUUCCCAUCAUGCUUUGUGCCCAUGGAGGAGUGAUGCAAUGAUCAAGCUUGUUGGAGGUAAAAGUCACACCGAGGCUUAUAGUGCACAAUUACAUCAUUCUCUGCAGUCAAACAACCAUAAAACACAUCGCAGACAGAGAAGAAGCCAGUAUAUUGACCCAUCUGAUCCCUUGGGAUCUGAGAAUCCGAGGUCAAGGACUGCUAAUCAUCGAAGACCAAAUCGAGAGCAUGAGCACGAGUGCAGCAGUAAUGUUUCUAAAGAAACCAUCACUUCCUAUGACGACCCUUUACACGUACUGCUCUCCAAGAGCCCUGUCAGUCCCAAUUUACAAAAACAGAAGAAACACAAGCAAGGUGCACCAUCUGAUCCAUUCUGAAUUACUGACCUAAAAAUAAAAGUUCAUUAACAAUUUUAUAAGCCUUGCACUAAAGAAAACCAUCUGUGAACCACCCAGGAGAACUUUUUUUUUUUUUGGAUGAUUCCUAAAACCAAUACACUGACCUAAAGAACUUACAACAUCACGUUAAGAAACCAAAUGGUUUCGAGGAAACAUAUCACCAAGAACUGUAUAUGAUGCAAUCUAGGGCCUCAGGACCUCAGUUGGUGUUGAGGCUAGUUUAGGUCACUGUUUGUCAGUCCUUUCACCUUUUCAAGUCAGUUAAAAUUUAAACUACCUUGCAAUGCUGCGGCAAUGACAUUGUUUUCAUAAGAACUGUGCAAGAAUCUUUCCAAUCGACUGAUAUUGUUGAAGGAUACAAUUUGGGUGCAUGAGUUUGCAGAAAUAAAUGAAUUCAAACAUUCUCUCAACAAACACCUUAAAAUGAGGUCAGAGUAGCUGAAUAUCUUCAAUAUUGACUGUUCUGUGCUGUUGAAGUACAUGUCAGGACACUCUGCAACUAUUAUGUAAAUAUGA